ACAGUCUCUCCUGUCACUUCUCUGAUAUAAACCCCAGUAAUGGAACAGGAACUCUUGAAGAAGCCUUAUGUGGGAAGCGCUUACAUCCAAUGGUGGCUGUCCUGGGCUUCAUGGAAUUUCCAGUCUCCAGUGUCCCCUGUCGCCAGAUCCAUCCUCCAGAGCAACUAGAGUGACCACGUGUUGAUGCUUCCAUGCAGAAUUCUGUAAAGUCUCCCCAUUGCCUACAGGAUGGAAGGACAGCACUGUCUGAGGGAUGCUAUCCACUGUUUUGCUA
This is a long non-coding RNA of Orcinus orca (killer whale), 274 nucleotides long. RefSeq lists it as uncharacterized. NCBI's taxonomy places the organism in Eukaryota, Metazoa, Chordata, Mammalia, Artiodactyla, Delphinidae. The transcript has 3 exons. The record is from RefSeq and is a predicted model, not a curated record.